GUCAGAGUGUGACGGUUGGUGUUCACUAUCAGCUGGAUUAAAUUGUUAAUUGAUGUGGGAAAGUCAUCCUAAUUGUGCACAUUCCGAGGCAGAGGGUCCUGAACUGUGGAAUAUAAUGUGAAACAUUAAAGAUGUGCUACAGACAGAGAGAUGCCAAGUAUACCGAGGCGCACUUUCUCUGGAUAAAAGAAGAAUGCUUUGUGGAGGUCUGAAUUUCUUGAGAUGCGUUUACAUGUCAUUAGCUUCUGAGGCGGUAAAACUAAGGAUCAGCAGCCUCUUAUGGCUCAGCUGUGAAAUGGCCCCCAAUAGACUUUGGUGGUUAUAAAUUUUUGGUCACUCAGGUGGUGGAAAUGUCUUGGGAGAUUGUGGAACCCUUGAGAGGUGUGGCCUGGCUUCAGAAAGUGAGUCACUGAGGGGUGGACCUUGAGAUUUCCAGCUCAGUUUCCCAUCUUGUCUCUGCUCCUGGUCCACUGAAAUAUGAACAAACAACCUGCUGCUUCCGAAGCUACCAGCCCAGCCACCCACCCAAUGCGCUCCCUGCUAUGAUGUACUGUUAUUAAAGCCUGAGCCAAAAUGGAGCCUUUCCCCCUGAAGAUGCUUUAUCGGGGAUUUGGUCACAAUGAUGAGAAAGAUUGAAAGAUUCGAAGAUGCUUGUCCUGUGAGCAGUGAUGGUCCCGUGGAAGCCAUUAGUCUAAAGCCCCUCACUGGGACAUGGUGGAUGGGUAGUAGCACAGGUGCUACAGUCAACUACUCCUGAACAUGAGGCGUCAUAUCCUGUGUUACUCCAUUGGAGAAAACUGAUUUCCCCUCUUCCGUCUAGUCUCCAGGCUACCAGUGCAGGCUGCCAAGAGAGGACAGCAAUGAACCAGUCUCAGCCACAUGUGACCCCAUGGCAAUG
Peromyscus maniculatus bairdii (prairie deer mouse) is the source of this 898-nucleotide non-coding RNA. NCBI's taxonomy places the organism in Eukaryota, Metazoa, Chordata, Mammalia, Rodentia, Cricetidae. The record is from RefSeq and is a predicted model, not a curated record.